RNAcentral lists this unclassified non-coding RNA (1577 nucleotides) under Hevea brasiliensis (rubber tree). Lineage: Eukaryota; Viridiplantae; Streptophyta; Magnoliopsida; Malpighiales; Euphorbiaceae. The record is from RNAcentral.
UGAAAGCAUUGAUAAUAAUAGAGAGGAAAAAAUACUGCAACACCCCCAAUUGACGCUUGCUCCUUUCGUUUUCGUCUCCAAAAUUUUUGAAAAUUUCAGUGUGUGCAUUUUUCAAAAUUUGGAGGGUCUCUUCCCUUUAAAAUUUCGCGCUCCAAGUUUAUGGACUCAGUGGCCAUGGCUUCUGGAGCUGAGGAGGGGGAGGACUGGGAGCUCCGCCAUGAUGACGAUGGCUUUACCUACAAGAUCCUCAAGCGCCGUCGUCUCCUCGACUCAACUGCCGCUGCUCAAUCUCCUCUGCCGGACCCCAUGGCCGAUGAGAGGCAUCGGAGACAACGAAAGAGAAAGAUCCUUUUGAAGUUAAAAAGUCGGUACCAAAAGGAGAUCGACCAGUGGGAACUUUUGUCGAGCACCUUGCAUGCGAUGCAAGAGAGAGCGAACCAGCAACUUGAAUUGCAAACACGUCAGCAAGAUGUGCGAGAAAUGGCGUCGUCUUCUUUGGGAUCGCCUUCGACAAACAUGGAGGGAUCUUCUGAGUCACUAAUCGAUAAACUCCUUUCGCAGGUAAUUUGGGUUUUUGAAAUUUUGGCAAAUGGUUCUGAAAUGUUAGUUUUAGAUGUCUCCGCUUGGAUGUUUCAUUCUGGACUUGGAAAAAGAUACGCUGAGCUGUUAAUGCCUAACGGGAGAAACCGGAUUACUUUAAUGAAGCUUUCACUGAUUAUUAGAUUCUAUUUGAAUUCUGCUUGCUGUAUUUUGAUUUUUAACGUGGAGUUGAUUGAGAAGCAAUCGUGUUUUAUGGAUUUAAAAGAUUGGGUUUUUAUGGGAGGAUUUCACUUCUUGUGAAUUUACUGUCAAAUCUGCUUAUCAGUGGUUCAUUCAACAAGAUUUUGGGCUUCUAAAAGUGGGUGGCUUUAGAUCUGGAAGUUGGAAGUUACGUAGAAGUUCAAGAACAUACGGAUUUUGCUACUUGCACAAGGAGAAAGAGAAAAAAGAAAUCGUUAAGAAUAAAUGUUUGUAAUUGGUAAAUUUGAUGCAUUCUGUGGAAGAAUAAAGAUGUCAUUCAGAAUUCCGUUGUUUCUUUAGAAAUUCAAUUGCAGUAACUUUGCUUCGAGCCUAAUAUUUAAUCUUUCAUUGGCUUUGCUGAAUUGUAAAUCAUACACAAACAAGGUGCUUUGAUUGAAAGUAUAGUUUUGAGUUCUAUUUUGACUCUAUAUCAUUCUUGAAAUUGCAGGCAGAGGAACAAGAAGCGGUAAUCCAUGAUGUGUCAUGCUUAUGUGAUAUAGCAGAAGCAAUGUGCAAUGCUCAACAGGAGUGGUUGGCACAAUCAUAUAUUGAUCUUCCAGUUUGGUCUUCACCUCGUAAGCUUAUGGCAUCACUUUGUGAUGAGUAAGUUUGUUUGAAGUAAUUAUCAUCAUAUCUCUUGAAGGAAACUUGUAAAGUAGUGUCUUGCAAUAGUUUAAUUCUUAUUUAGCUGAAUAGUGAUGUGAAUGCUUGUAGAAGAUUUGAUUGUAAUAUGUUUUGUUGUAGAUUUCUUCCUUUGAAUGAAAGUUCAAAGUUUUUAUAGUUGUUAAUGUUUUCUG